Molecule: ribosomal RNA, 393 nt
Filed under: uncultured bacterium
Lineage: Bacteria
Description: partial 16S ribosomal RNA
Rfam family: Bacterial small subunit ribosomal RNA
Source: RNAcentral
AUACGGAGGAUGCGAGCGUUAUCCGGAUUUAUUGGGUUUAAAGGGUGCGUAGGCUGUGCGUUAAGUCAGGGGUGAAAUGCCGUCGCUCAACGACGGAGCUGCCCUUGAUACUGGCGUGCUGGAGUACGGAUGCCGUUGGUGGAAUGCGUGGUGUAGCGGUGAAAUGCUUAGAUAUCACUCAGAACACCGAUUGCGAAGGCAUCUGACGAAUCCGUCACUGACGCUGAGGCACGAAAGCGUGGGGAUAGAACAGGAUUAGAUACCCUGGUAUUCCACGCCGUAAACGAUGAUGACUAACCGUCGGCGAUAGACAGCCGGCGGCCAAGCGAAAGCGAUAAGUCAUCCACCUGGGGAGUACGUCGGCAACGAUGAAACUCAAAGGAAUUGACGGGG